Molecule: long non-coding RNA, 843 nt
Organism: Tachysurus fulvidraco (yellow catfish)
Lineage: Eukaryota; Metazoa; Chordata; Actinopteri; Siluriformes; Bagridae
Exons: 3
Source: RefSeq, a predicted model, not a curated record
GGCGGCUGCUGUUGAGGAAGUGGAGAUGUGGGAAAGCAGCCUGUGUUUUUGUUCCUCCUUCUCCGGCUGGCGGCGUUUCUGCUCCCGCUUUCCGUCUCAACUUUCUACCGAACCCGAGUGUCAAGAGUAACAGAGUCAGAACAGAUAAUAGCCAGGGAGGGUGAAGGCCAGCACAUGGUACAUCCAGCAUCCAGUUCAUGAUAGAAAGCCUGUGCCGGAGGACUGAGUGGAAGAUAUUGUGUCUGAUUCGUGUGGACAGCAUCUGCACCCUCAGGAUUCAGUCCUCUAUGAAACAUUCUUGCAUAAGACACAAACAGGCAAAGCAAAGUGUCAGUCAUGAGACACAGGAAAGUCUGAGUGUUUCUAUCCAGAACUCCCAACGCUAUCCUGAGACACCAUUUCACUUACAGGAGGAUUUCUUGACGGUUUAAGUUUCUGUGUUUUGUUUUGGUGUUUCUGCUCUACAGUCUCCUCAAUAGUGUUGAAAUAGAAAUAGUAGUUUUAUCCGGUUUUGCUAUUUGUAUCUUCAAUUCCCAAUUGUUCAGGUUGUCUAAAGUUUUUAAUGCUAAAACCAGCCUACAGUACAUGCUGGACCCCAAAUCCAAGAGCUUAGUGUCAUGUCCUUCACAGACAGCUCACCAUGAAGCCAUGCGUUGUUGUUUUUUUAACUAUUUCCCUUGUUGUCUGUCUCACUUCCUGCAUCUGUGCACAGCUGUCUUCUCCCUGAUUGGUUCUGAAAUGUUUCUUCUGCUUAGUUGAUAACAUUCGUUGCUUUGCCUUGAGGUUUUAUUUUUGUUGAAAUAAAAGAUUUGCUUAUGACUUCAAAACCUUUCACCCAGACAC